This 72-nucleotide transfer RNA is filed under the name Loxodonta africana (African savanna elephant). It matches the Rfam family "tRNA". From Rfam's summary of the family: Transfer RNA (tRNA) molecules are approximately 80 nucleotides in length. Their secondary structure includes four short double-helical elements and three loops (D, anti-codon, and T loops). Lineage: Eukaryota; Metazoa; Chordata; Mammalia; Proboscidea; Elephantidae. The record is from Rfam by way of RNAcentral.
GCCCUGGUGGAGAAAUGGUUAAGCACUUGGCUGCUAACCGAAUGAUUGGUGGUUCAAAUCCACCCAGUGGCU